UCUUCCUGUCUCACUGUAACGCUGAUGAUUUAACUUCCUGUUUCUGUCACAUCUGCUCAUUUUCACCUUUAAAAACCAAACCCUCCAUUUUGACACGAGUCAAACACACACGCGCUGUUAUUUAUCUCAUUUAAAGAAGAUCUGCUGUCUCGUGUCAGUCUAUCACAGCAGUGUGUACGUCAGGGACACAACUGAGGCGGAAGCGCAAAUUCUGUGCGAGCCGCCGCCUGACUGUUCACACAGGGAGCCGUCCAGGAGGAUGUUUUAGAUGCUGGCUUGCCUGUCCACGGAGCCACGGGUGGUGACAUCAGCAAAUGUCCCUACUAUGCUGCCAAAAUGACGGCGUCGAGUGGAACAGCAUAUGCCGGUCAACUCGCCAUGGCCGCGGGACAGGUUCUGUUUGUGACUUGGAUUGCUGCUCUGGCUGGAUUCGCUGCAUGGUAUCUGAUGUGAUCCCACCUCCAGCCUGUCAUUCUGCUGCUGGGAGAGGGAGAGGGAGAGAGGGAGAGGGAGGAGAAACAUUGAGGGAGGGCGGAUAAGGAGAUUGAGACCAUUUCAUAGUUUAAUACAAACAUUCUUUAGAGGUCCAACCUAAUUCAAUAUUGCAAAUGGCCAAAGAGGGAAGCUGACAGGAAAUAUACUUGGUCUUAUUGGACUAUUAGCACAUCAACUUCAUCCAUCUCUCAUGCUAUGCCUUCAUGUGUUGUUUCUCCGCUUCCUUUGGACUAUCCCUCCAUUUGAUGUCCCUUCAGAGUGUCUGGCCGUACCUCAUACCCUUCUGGAGCUGUUUGCUGAUAUUGGCUCAGAAGCACAUUGUGUGAAUACUUUGAUUUUAUUAUUUUUUUCAACUUUACUUGAAAUUUCUUUUUGAUGCGACCCACUUAAAAACUGUAACUGGCUUUACAGCUGACAAUGAUGCACCUAUUAAUGCUAAAAUAUACUAUGCAGAGGCUGUGGAUAGAAAAGCACAAAUUUGUUUGAGAAAUGUAAAUUUGAAAUUAAGUUUGAUUAAAUGCAACAGUACUUUUUUCAAAUGGA
Long non-coding RNA from Pleuronectes platessa (European plaice), 1038 nucleotides. RefSeq lists it as uncharacterized. The record is from RefSeq and is a predicted model, not a curated record. NCBI's taxonomy places the organism in Eukaryota, Metazoa, Chordata, Actinopteri, Pleuronectiformes, Pleuronectidae. The transcript is spliced from 3 exons.